UACGUAGGGUGCAAGCGUUAAUCGGAAUUACUGGGCGUAAAGCGUGCGCAGGCGGUUGUGCAAGACAGAUGUGAAAUCCCCGGGCUCAACCCUGGGAAUUGCAUUUGUGACUGCACGGCUAGAGUGUGUCAGAGGGGGGUAGAAUUCCACGUGUGAGCAAGUGAAAUGCGUAGAGAUGAUGGAGGAAUACCGAUGGCGAAGGCAGCCCC
RNAcentral lists this ribosomal RNA (209 nucleotides) under uncultured bacterium. Its description in RNAcentral is "partial 16S ribosomal RNA". It matches the Rfam family "Bacterial small subunit ribosomal RNA", at positions 524 to 728 of the family's 1533-position model. The record is from RNAcentral.